AAUGCAAUUGCUGGGUUCUAUGGUAAGUACAUGUUUUGUCAUAAGAGAAAUUGCCAAACUUUUCCCAAGUGUCUGUACCAUAUUUCCACCAGCAAU
Molecule: microRNA precursor, 96 nt
Filed under: Marmota monax (woodchuck)
Lineage: Eukaryota; Metazoa; Chordata; Mammalia; Rodentia; Sciuridae
Source: RNAcentral